AACGUAGGAGACAAACGUUAUCCGGAGUUACUGGGCGUAAAGGGCGUGUAGGCGGUUAGUUAAGUCUGGCGUGAAAGCUCUCGGCUAAACCGGGAGAGGUCGUCGGAUACUGGCAAACUAGAGGACGGUAGAGGCGUGUGGAAUUCCGGGUGUAGUGGUGAAAUGCUUAGAUAUCUGGAGGAACACCAGUGGCGAAGGCGGUGUUCUGGGCCUGUACUGACGCUGAUGCGCGAAAGCGUGGGGAGCGAACAGG
This 253-nucleotide ribosomal RNA is filed under the name uncultured bacterium. RNAcentral's name for it is "partial 16S ribosomal RNA". It matches the Rfam family "Bacterial small subunit ribosomal RNA", at positions 524 to 776 of the family's 1533-position model. The record is from RNAcentral.